RNAcentral lists this ribosomal RNA (165 nucleotides) under uncultured bacterium. Its description in RNAcentral is "partial 16S rRNA". It matches the Rfam family "Bacterial small subunit ribosomal RNA", at positions 355 to 511 of the family's 1533-position model. The record is from RNAcentral.
UAGGGAAUCUUCGGCAAUGGAUGAAAGUCUGACCGAGCAACGCCGCGUGAGUGAAGAAAGUUUUCGGAUCGUAAAACUCUGUUGGUAGAGAAGAACGUUGGUGAGAGUGGAAAGCUCAUCAAGUGACGGUAACUACCCAGAAAGGGACGGCUAACUACGUGACAG